This is a long non-coding RNA of Oncorhynchus nerka (sockeye salmon), 681 nucleotides long. RefSeq lists it as uncharacterized. The record is from RefSeq and is a predicted model, not a curated record. NCBI's taxonomy places the organism in Eukaryota, Metazoa, Chordata, Actinopteri, Salmoniformes, Salmonidae. The transcript has 3 exons.
AGUGCCUGGCAGCACUGUGUUCCUGUUAGAGCCACCAGCACAAGCACCAGACGAUGCUGAUCCAGGUGAAGGCCCCAGUGCAGCAGCAACAGCACAUGAUGGAGACGAUGAUGAGGAGGAGACCAUCUCUCUGGAUUCCAGAAGGUAUGAGGUAUCAUGUUAAGACUGUGAAAGUACUAUUUACUCUACAAUGGUGAGGAGUCCUCAUCAAAAUCAAAAAAUCUAAUUUCUUUUACAGGACCCAGAUGCUAUACAGUGGGAAAACCAGCCUGGCAACAUAGUGCAUAUUAAUAAAAGGACACCACAUCCUGCCAAAUUCCAGCUGCGCUAAUUGUAUUGUGUUCACAGAGCUCACAAGCUAUCAGAAAGUUGUAUGGCAACCACCUCCGGCGCCAAAUAGAACUGGCAGACAUUCAGUACAAGAAGAAAAAGAUGGAAAAUCUUGCACUGAAGUCCGAAAUAAAAAAGAGGACAAUUAGGAAACUGGACCUUGAAAUAAAAAAACUUGAGAGGGAGCUCUAAGAAGAUGACACAGCUCAAAAUAAAAAUUAGGUAUAUUCUCGUAAAGUCAAGUGAGCCAUGACAUAUGAGCUCUUAUUGUGAGCACACAGGACGGUGGCAUCUUUCUAAGGUUUUUUUUAUUUUCCCAGCAAUCAGUACAACCAAGUCAUCGUUAUAAGG